Long non-coding RNA from Oncorhynchus nerka (sockeye salmon), 1517 nucleotides. RefSeq lists it as uncharacterized. NCBI's taxonomy places the organism in Eukaryota, Metazoa, Chordata, Actinopteri, Salmoniformes, Salmonidae. The record is from RefSeq and is a predicted model, not a curated record. The transcript has 2 exons.
GAAACGCAUAUAACAAUAGACAUAUAUCACUUGUUAUUAAUAUUAAACUUUUUAUUAUUUUCAUGAAAUGCUAUGACUGCUGAAAUAAAGGAUAAUGAGUGUCAAAAGGGGGACUUAAAUUUCACACCUUUGGGGUUAUUUUACAUUAUAGCCAUUACCAUAUAUAUUAUCUGCUGUUGCCUUGGGUGGAUGUGUGUAUGUGUUAUGUUCUCUAGCUGAUUUGAAACAUUGUUGAAAGUAUCAGGGCCAUGGAACUUUCUCAUGCUGGGAAAAUACAGAAGGGAGGGCACAUUCAGAGCGUGGGGUUGCGAACAAGCAGUCUUUUGUUAGAUAACAGGAGCCAGGUGCGAGAUAACGGUAUGGAGCAUGAGACCCAUCUUUUAGUUUUUGCAGCCAUUUUAGUGUUGUGCGGCUGCGGUUGCAUUCCAUGUAUCCGGUCCCUUACUGCUAGAGUUAUCUCCAGAGCUAUUGACCCUUCUUCCCCUUCCCAGAUGUAUCCUCUGCUUGCUAAUGACCUGCCAGAGUUUGAGGAUGAGGUGGAGAAUACCCUUUAGAGAGUGUCACAUCUUUUGGAGAUGUGAAGAGAGGGUAUCACAACUUUUUCCUGCUGGAAAAGGUUGGCUUAUUUUGGACAAACAUUUUACUUAUAGCUUAGAGCUGUUGUUCUCCGCAAUUGUUAAAUGAGGGUUGUAAGUUCCUAGGUGGCUGGUAGCCAACUUAGUACAUAGUGGGAUUGAGUGGAGAACUUGGUGGUAAUACAUAUACAUCCAUUUCUUUUUAAUGUUGUGCCUUUUUCAUAGCCCCUUUGGGAAAAGUUUUCUUUUGUAUCAGAAUCUAGUUAGGUUGUGUCACGUCUCUGGGGAGAUGUGAAGAGAGGGAUUUGUAGAGGACUGCUAAUUCCUAUGUAGGUGACAUUACACUACUAUAGCUGAGACACAUAGUAAAACAGGUUGGGCCCCAUACAGGAUAUCUCUCACACACACACACACUCACUGUAAUCAUCCAGAACACUGUCACAACAGGAUACUCCUAGCCACAGGUGCUAGCCGGCAGUUCGGCCACAACUCCCCUGAAGAUAGGGACGCAUACGCUCUUACACACUGACCCCAGAAGACAGGGACGACGCACAUACAGUACACACAUAGCUGCCGAGGACACACAGAUAAGACAUACACCCACACAUUGGGAGGAAGAGACAGCCUUGACUUGCAGACACAAGCACACACACACAAUCUCCUUCCUAGCCGAACAUUGUGUGACUGAGAACGACACGACGAGACCCGGAGGAACGACGGACGGCUCAACAGGACCAAUCCAAGAAGACAACACCUCAACUGUGGCCAAUCAAAAGCCAGGGACUUUCAGACUCAACCCACUUUUUGUACUGUACAUAACAUGCUUACAAUCUGUUAUCGGGGCUUCGUUCUGCUGGUUCCUUGGUAGCCAAAUGAAUGAGCCCGUAUACGUUGUACCAGAUAUCUUUACUCUGAAUAAACUGUCGCUUGUCAUAUAAUUGA